GUGGGAGGACAGACAGGCUACCUGAGACAUAAAACCGAUAGGUGGGAGGACAGACAGGCUACCUGAGACAUAAAACCGAUAGGUGGGAGGACAGACAGGCUACCUGAGACAUGAAACCGAUAGGUGGGAGGGCAGACAGGCUACCUGAGACAUGAAACCGAUAGGUGGGAGGGCACACAUUAAUUAAUGCGCAUUUUAUUUUAGGUGUGAUGUCAUUACGCAAAGCUAUUUUUAUUGAGACAAGAUAGUUAAUUGGAAACGCACCCUAGCAGGCAAUUGUCGAAUAAAUUUUCUAUGCAAACUUUCUAAAUGUUGACAACAACAAAA
Molecule: long non-coding RNA, 327 nt
Organism: Oncorhynchus tshawytscha (Chinook salmon)
Lineage: Eukaryota; Metazoa; Chordata; Actinopteri; Salmoniformes; Salmonidae
Source: Ensembl